This 390-nucleotide ribosomal RNA is filed under the name uncultured Chrysophyceae. Its description in RNAcentral is "partial small subunit ribosomal RNA". It matches the Rfam family "Eukaryotic small subunit ribosomal RNA", at positions 30 to 432 of the family's 1831-position model. The record is from RNAcentral. Lineage: Eukaryota; Chrysophyceae.
GCUUGUCUCAAAGAUUAAGCCAUGCAUGUCUAAGUAUAAACGACUUUAUACUGUGAAACUGCGAAUGGCUCAUUAUAUCAGUUAUAGUUUAUUUGAUGGUCCUUGCUACUUGGAUAACCGUAGUAAUUCUAAAGCUAAUACAUGCAUUAAACCCCGACUUCUGGAAGGGGUGUAUUUAUUAGAAGAAAACCAAUGCGGGGUAACCCGGAAUAUGGUGAUUCAUAAUAACUUUCGGAUCGACUUAUCGAUGCAUCAUUCAAGCUUCUGCCCUAUCAGCUUUGGAUGGUAGGGUAUUGGCCUACCAUGGCUUUAACGGGUAACGGAGAAUUAGGGUUCGAUUCCGUUUAGGGGGCCUGAGAAAUGGCUACCACAUCCAAGGAAGGCAGCAGG